This 302-nucleotide unclassified non-coding RNA is filed under the name Beauveria sp. RNAcentral describes it as "partial contains 5.8S ribosomal RNA, internal transcribed spacer 2, and large subunit ribosomal RNA". The stretch from base 1 to 71 matches the Rfam family "5.8S ribosomal RNA", at positions 84 to 154 of the family's 154-position model. The record is from RNAcentral. Lineage: Eukaryota; Fungi; Ascomycota; Sordariomycetes; Hypocreales; Cordycipitaceae.
GUGAGUCAUCGAAUCUUUGAACGCACAUUGCGCCCGCCAGCAUUCUGGCGGGCAUGCCUGUUCGAGCGUCAUUACAACACUCGACUUCCCGGGCCCAGCCCGUGGAAGUCGGCAUUGGGGAUCGGCAGCACACCGCCGGCCCUGAAAUGGAGUGGCGGCCCGUCCGCGGCGACCUCUGCGUAGUAAUCCAACUCGCACCGGAACCCCGACGUGGCCACGCCGUAAAACACCCAACUUCUGAACGUUGACCUCGAAUCAGGUAGGACUACCCGCUGAACUUAAGCAUAUCAAUAAGCGGAGGA